CAAUUGGUCCUUUUCAGGACCACCCUGUUAUUCUUGUGAAAUGAUAU
Non-coding RNA from Oryctes borbonicus, 47 nucleotides. NCBI's taxonomy places the organism in Eukaryota, Metazoa, Arthropoda, Insecta, Coleoptera, Scarabaeidae. The record is from Rfam.